This is a non-coding RNA of Pelodiscus sinensis (Chinese soft-shelled turtle), 702 nucleotides long. The record is from RefSeq and is a predicted model, not a curated record. NCBI's taxonomy places the organism in Eukaryota, Metazoa, Chordata, Testudines, Trionychidae.
UACAACUCUUGCUACUAAAAUAAAUGUGGCUUGCUGAAUAUUAAAAGAAGUUUGUGCCCCAAGUCACAAAGUCUUUUAGAGAGGCUAUAAGAUUUGCAUGCUUUCCAUGUACAGGAGUAUACAUGAUACAAUCUAUCCCUUGACAAAUAUGAUGUUUUAAUAUAUUACCUGUUUUAAAAUAUUUGAGAUGCUUGCUGUUACAGCAAUGUUAUUUAAACAUUUUUUUAGAAAGUUCAAUUAAAAUACAUGUCUACUGGCUUUAGGAAUACAUAUUUUGGGAAGAAAUGUGAAAUCAAAGCAUAGCGGAAUCUUCUAACAACGUGGUAGUGCCAAUGUGUAAAGUUAUUUAUCAUGGUCUUUGUUUUUCUUUUUAAAAACUGCAAUAGGAGGAGCUAAAGUCUCUUGAGCAAAUGCAUUUGUCCCUGAGAGCCCUCCAUCAAAUGGUUGCCUCCUGUAAUGAGACCAUCAAUUCUCUCGUCCAGAACAACCACACAUUAACAGACCUGAAUAAAGGCUGGCAGAUUUUCUUCACUGGACAAAGGGAAGAUGAAAAAUAAUUCCAAAUCCUUGAUAUAUUUUGAAUUUGGGCAGGGUGGGGGAAGCACUAGCUGGAAAUCAAAUAAUCCUGAAGUGAAUUCUUGCGAACCCCUCACAGCAUUGUUUCAGAGAUUCAGUUGGAGACAACGAUCACUGGGCCUGCAG